UCUUGACUAGUAUAUCGGUUAGUACACGCGCUUGUCAUGUUCGGGAUACAUGUCGAACGCGCGAAAGCUGGGUUCGACUCCCAGGUCGAGAG
Mycena olivaceomarginata is the source of this 92-nucleotide non-coding RNA. Lineage: Eukaryota; Fungi; Basidiomycota; Agaricomycetes; Agaricales; Mycenaceae. The record is from the annotation of a GenBank genome assembly.